Molecule: ribosomal RNA, 480 nt
Filed under: uncultured bacterium
Lineage: Bacteria
Description: partial 16S ribosomal RNA
Rfam family: Bacterial small subunit ribosomal RNA
Source: RNAcentral
AAUGAACGUUGGCGGCGUGGAUUAGGCAUGCAAGUCGAGCGCGAACCCCGCAAGGGGUGAAAGCGGCGAAAGGGAGAGUAACGCGUGGGUAUCUGCCCUCGGGACUGGGAUAGCUGCGGGAAACGGCAGGUAAUACCAGAUGACGUCCCCGGACCAAAGGUGUGAUUCCGCCUGAGGAUGAGCCCGCGUUCUAUGAGCUAGUUGGUAGGGUAAUGGCCUACCAAGGCAAUGAUGGGUACUGGGUGUGAGAGCACGACCCAGCUCACUGGGCCUGAGACACUGCCCAGACACCUACGGGUGGCUGCAGUCGAGAAUCUUCGGCAAUGGGCGAAAGCCUGACCGAGCGACGCCGCGUGUGGGAUGAAGGCCUUCGGGUUGUAAACCGCUGUCAGAGGGGAGGAAUGGGCGGAGGGUAAUCUCUUCGUUUUGACCUAUCCUCAGAGGAAGUACGGGCUAAGUUCGUGCCAGCCGCCGCGGUAA